This 270-nucleotide ribosomal RNA is filed under the name uncultured archaeon. RNAcentral describes it as "partial 16S ribosomal RNA". It matches the Rfam family "Archaeal small subunit ribosomal RNA", at positions 477 to 747 of the family's 1478-position model. The record is from RNAcentral.
CCGCAGCUCGAGUGGUGGUCUAUAUUAUUGAGCCUAAAACGUCCGUAGCCGGAUUCAUAAAUCCUUGGGUAAAUCGGCUAGCUUAACUAACCGAAUUCCGAGGAGACUGUGGAUCUUGGGACCGGGAGAGGUCAGAGGUACUUCUGGGGUAGGGGUAAAAUCCUGUAAUCCUAGAAGGACCACCGGUGGCGAAGGCGUCUGACUAGAACGGAUCCGACGGUGAGGGACGAAGCCCUGGGGCGCAAACGGGAUUAGAUACCCGAGUAGUCC